Molecule: ribosomal RNA, 434 nt
Filed under: uncultured bacterium
Lineage: Bacteria
Description: bacterial SSU rRNA
Rfam family: Bacterial small subunit ribosomal RNA
Source: RNAcentral
GCAAAACGCGAAGAACCUUACCCACCUCUGACAUGUACGGAAUCCUUUAGAGAUAGAGGAGUGCUCGAAAGAGAGCCGUAACACAGGUGCUGCAUGGCUGUCGUCAGCUCGUGUCGUGAGAUGUUGGGUUAAGUCCCGCAACGAGCGCAACCCUUGCCAUUAGUUGCUACGAAAGGGCACUCUAAUGGGACUGCCGGUGACAAACCGGAGGAAGGUGGGGAUGACGUCAAGUCCUCAUGGCCCUUAUAGGUGGGGCUACACACGUCAUACAAUGGCUGGUACAAAGGGUUGCCAACCCGCGAGGGGGAGCUAAUCCCAUAAAGCCAGUCGUAGUCCGGAUCGCAGUCUGCAACUCGACUGCGUGAAGUCGGAAUCGCUAGUAAUCGUGGAUCAGAAUGUCACGGUGAAUACGUUCCCGGGUCUUGUACACACCG